RNAcentral lists this ribosomal RNA (253 nucleotides) under uncultured bacterium. RNAcentral's name for it is "partial 16S ribosomal RNA". It matches the Rfam family "Bacterial small subunit ribosomal RNA", at positions 524 to 776 of the family's 1533-position model. The record is from RNAcentral.
UACGUAGGCAGCGAGCGUUGUUCGGAGUUACUGGGCGUAAAGGGUGUGUAGGCGGUCCUCUAAGUUUGGUGUGAAAUCUCCCGGCUCAACCGGGAGGGUGCGCCGAAAACUGGAGGGCUAGAGUGCGGGAAGGGAGGGUGGAAUUCCUGGUGUAGCGGUGAAAUGCGUAGAUAUCAGGAGGAACACCGGUGGUGUAGACGGCUCUCUGGACCGCGACUGACGCUGAGACACGAAAGCGUGGGUAGCAAACAGG